GUGGGGAAUAUUGGACAAUGGGCGAAAGCCUGAUCCAGCCAUGCCGCGUGAGUGAUGAAGGCCUUAGGGUUGUAAAGCUCUUUCAGUAGGGAAGAUAAUGACGGUACCUACAGAAGAAGCCCCGGCUAACUUCGUGCCAGCAGCCGCGGUAAUACGAAGGGGGCUAGCGUUGUUCGGAUUUACUGGGCGUAAAGCGCACGUAGGCGGAUUGGUCAGUUAGAGGUGAAAUCCUGGAGCUCAACUCCAGAACUGCCUUUAAUACUGCCAGUCUAGAGUCCAGAAGAGGUGAGUGGAACUCCUAGUGUAGAGGUGGAAUUCGUAGAUAUUAGGAAGAACACCAGUGGCGAAGGCGGCUAACUGGUCUGGUACUGACGCUGAGGUGCGAAAGCGUGGGGAGCAAACAGGAUUAGAAACCCCUGUAGUCC
RNAcentral lists this ribosomal RNA (425 nucleotides) under uncultured bacterium. RNAcentral's name for it is "bacterial SSU rRNA". It matches the Rfam family "Bacterial small subunit ribosomal RNA", at positions 354 to 796 of the family's 1533-position model. The record is from RNAcentral.